RNAcentral lists this ribosomal RNA (256 nucleotides) under uncultured bacterium. Its description in RNAcentral is "partial 16S ribosomal RNA". It matches the Rfam family "Bacterial small subunit ribosomal RNA", at positions 521 to 776 of the family's 1533-position model. The record is from RNAcentral.
UAAUACGAAUGGGGCAAGCGUUGUUCGGAAUCACUGGGCUUAAAGCGUAUGCAGGUGGACUUACAAGUCAGAAGUGAAAGCCCCGGGCUUAACCCGGGAAUUGCUUUUGAAACUGUCAGUCUAGAAUCCCGGAGAGGUUAGUAGAAUUCCGAGUGUAGAGGUGAAAUUCGCAGAUAUUCGGAGGAAUACCAGUGGCGUAAGCGACUAACUGGACGGGCAUUGACACUCAGAUACGAAAGCGUGGGUAGCAAACAGG